Molecule: ribosomal RNA, 254 nt
Filed under: uncultured bacterium
Lineage: Bacteria
Description: partial 16S ribosomal RNA
Rfam family: Bacterial small subunit ribosomal RNA
Source: RNAcentral
UACGGGGGGAGCAAGCGUUGUUCGGAUUUACUGGGCGUAAAGGGCGCGUAGGCGGUCGUGACAAGUCACUUGUGAAAUCUCCGGGCUUAACUCGGAACGGUCAAGUGAUACUGUCGGACUAGAGUACAGAAGGGGCAACUGGAAUUCUCGGUGUAGCGGUGAAAUGCGUAGAUAUCGAGAGGAACACCUGCGGCGAAGGCGGGUUGCUGGGCUGAUACUGACGCUGAGGCGCGAAAGCCAGGGUAGCGAAAGGG